This is an RNA transcript of Juglans regia (Persian walnut), 1188 nucleotides long. It is a transcript of the gene named glucosidase 2 subunit beta, with no coding region annotated. The transcript has 6 exons. Lineage: Eukaryota; Viridiplantae; Streptophyta; Magnoliopsida; Fagales; Juglandaceae. The record is from RefSeq and is a predicted model, not a curated record.
AAGAAAAAAGACACCAAAUUUUCUCAAACGUCCAAACAUGGAGCACGGUCAUGAUCGUCGUUUUCUCACCCUCAGUUUCUGUAUUAGCUUUAUCCCAUUCCUAUUUUCCUCCUACGCUUCUCCCUUCUCCAACCCACCCCUCCUGGGAAUCCACCCUCUCGAUGAGAAAUACUUUCAGCCUGAGGUGAUCAAAUGCAAGGACGGGUCAAAAUCCUUCACCAGAGACCGUGUCAAUGACGAUUUCUGUGACUGCCUUGACGGGACUGACGAGCCCGGAACAUCAGCCUGUCCAGCGGGGAAAUUUUACUGUAGGAAUGUUGGAAGUAUUCCUCGGUUUAUAUUUUCUUCUCGUGUUAAUGAUCGAUUUUGUGAUUGCUGUGAUGGAAGUGAUGAAUAUGAUGGUAGUAUCAAUUGUCCAAACACAUGCGUCAUGGGUGGGAAUAUUGACUACAAGACUGGCAGUUAUGUCCCAACAAUUCGUAACAUGAGCUCUAUCAAUGAAAAAGAAACCAAAAGUGGAGUUAAUUUGGAGGACUUGAUUCAAAAGCUUCAAGGUCUGAAGGUAAUUAUAAUCCUACAGGCGGUUCUCAUUGGUUCAGUUGUGGUUUUCCGGAUUUUCCACCGCCGUGCCAGAUCCAAAAAAAGGCGCUUGCGUUGAGAAAUCCACCAACCACGUGUAGCUGACUGUUACGUUUUGGUGAGGAAAUAUUUUCCCGUUUUGCAAUUGACAUGAAUUCCGAUUAUCUUCUCCUGCUGUUUUGGGAAUACAUUCAGAUCCUAAGAGAUUCGACUGUUCUUAUUCCAAACCUGACAAGCUGCAGAGAUGAUUCCAGUGUCUGUUGCAUCCGUACAAGAACUUGCUGGUGGCCAACUAACCAUAUAAUGGAUGGAUAUCUGUGUCUGCUCCAGUGCAUAUUGGAAGGCAUGAAAAUUCAACUUUAACACAAUGGUAACAUACGGAGUUUUGAGUUCAAUAUCAUCCAGAGCGAGCCUACAUGAAUUUAUAGGAAGAAAAAGAACUGCCUUUCUUCGAUGAUAUUCAGAUAGGAAUGAUAGUACAGAGGGAACUUUGGGUUUGAAUGAUAGGAAUGAAUGGUAAAUUUUGAUCUUUAACCAAAUUGGUAGGUCCUUAACUUUCUCUGUUACUGGUAAAUUAUGAUAUUAACCACGUGGUAAGUCCUUAACCAA